This 450-nucleotide ribosomal RNA is filed under the name uncultured bacterium. RNAcentral describes it as "bacterial SSU rRNA". It matches the Rfam family "Bacterial small subunit ribosomal RNA", at positions 354 to 796 of the family's 1533-position model. The record is from RNAcentral.
GUGGGGAAUAUUGGACAAUGGGCGAAAGCCUGAUCCAGCCAUGCCGCGUGUGUGAAGAAGGUCUUCGGAUUGUAAAGCACUUUAAGUUGGGAGGAAGGGCAGUAAGUUAAUACCUUGCUGUUUUGACGUUACCGACAGAAUAAGCACCGGCUAACUUCGUGCCAGCAGCCGCGGUAAUACGAAGGGUGCAAGCGUUAAUCGGAAUUACUGGGCGUAAAGCGCGCGUAGGCGGUUUUGUAAGUUGGAGGUGAAAUCCCCGGGCUCAACCUGGGAACUGCCUCCAAAACUGCAUGACUAGAGUACGGUAGAGGGUAGUGGAAUUUCCUGUGUAGCGGUGAAAUGCGUAGAUAUAGGAAGGAACACCAGUGGCGAAGGCGACUACCUGGACUGAUACUGACACUGAGGUGCGAAAGCGUGGGGAGCAAACAGGAUUAGAUACCCGAGUAGUCC